Sinocyclocheilus rhinocerous is the source of this 114-nucleotide long non-coding RNA. RefSeq lists it as uncharacterized. The transcript is spliced from 3 exons. The record is from RefSeq and is a predicted model, not a curated record. NCBI's taxonomy places the organism in Eukaryota, Metazoa, Chordata, Actinopteri, Cypriniformes, Cyprinidae.
CCUAGACCUCAAAGGAGAGAAGCUGGAUUAUAAAUCAUGUGAAUCUCUGGAGGAGAUCUUUAAGAGGGUGCAGUUUAAAGUGGUGGAUCUGGAACAGACAAACUUAGAUGAGGA